CCAAAAGAUCGAUCGGGGAGAUUCAUCGUCAGCGAUUCUGGUACGUGGGUGGUUCGCGAUGCCGCGGGACCUCGGUCCAGUGACACGCGUCCGCGCAUGUUUCGAUUGCCAGUUGUCGUCGGCGUGCACUUCUCCCCUAGUAGGACGUCGCGACCCGUUGGGUGUCGGUCUACGGCCCGAAUGGUAGGUUGUCGUGCGUCGCGYMCUCGUGCCAACAUGCGGCAGACCACCGGUCNNNNNNNNNNNNNNNNGGCGGUAUUCGCACGGUAUCGAGCCGCAAAUAAUCGAACUGCGUCCGGCCCGCCGCAAGCGAGGUCAGUGUUUCCCGGAUGCGCGGACCUAGCGCCGUCACCGGGCCUGGCCGGCUGUUGGUCGGUGGUGUCCUGGUACUGGCUCAAACAAUUAUGAAUACCGGUCGGCGACGCUACUGCUUUGGGUACUUUCAGGACCCGUCUUGAAACACGGA
This 466-nucleotide ribosomal RNA is filed under the name Lissonota sp. BF000901. Its description in RNAcentral is "partial 28S ribosomal RNA". Lineage: Eukaryota; Metazoa; Arthropoda; Insecta; Hymenoptera; Ichneumonidae. The record is from RNAcentral.